Small nucleolar RNA from Monodelphis domestica (gray short-tailed opossum), 67 nucleotides. Ensembl annotates it as small nucleolar RNA, C/D box 1B. The record is from Ensembl. NCBI's taxonomy places the organism in Eukaryota, Metazoa, Chordata, Mammalia, Didelphimorphia, Didelphidae.
CUGAGCUGGUGAUGAUAAGUUAUCCCUGUCUGAAAAAAAAAUGUGGAGGAAACUUCCUGAAGCUUGG